Sapajus apella (tufted capuchin) is the source of this 626-nucleotide RNA transcript. It is a transcript of the gene named interferon-induced transmembrane protein 3 pseudogene, with no coding region annotated. The transcript has a single exon. NCBI's taxonomy places the organism in Eukaryota, Metazoa, Chordata, Mammalia, Primates, Cebidae. The record is from RefSeq and is a predicted model, not a curated record.
AAGGGAGGGCCCACUGAGAACCAUCCCAGCAACCUGACCACAGCUGGUCUUCCCUGGACACCAUGAGCCAUACUGUCCAAUCCUUCUUCACUCCCGCCAACACCGACCGUCCACCCAACUAUGAGAUGCUGAGGGAAGAGCACGAGGUGGCUGCGCUGGGGGCGCCCCACAACCCAGCUCCCCUGACAUCCACCGUGAUCCACAUCCACAGCGAGACCUCUGUGCCCGACCACGUCAUCUGGUCCCUGCUCAACACCUUCUUCAUGAACUCCUGCUGCCUGGGCUUCAUAGCAUUUGCCUACUCUGUGAAGUCUCAGGACAGGAAGAUAGUUGGUGACCUGACCAGGGCCCAGGCCGAUGCCUCCACCGCCAAAUGCCUGAACAUCUGGGCCCUGAUCAUGGGCAUCAUCAUGACCAUUCUGCUGAUCAUCAUCCCAAUACUGAUUCUGCAAGCCUAUCAAGAGAUCGAGAGGAAUCAUCCAGGCCAGGGGCUCUGCCCGUGACCUGUUUCCCAUACUCCAGCUUCCAUUCCUCGCCCUGCCCCGAGCCAAGUCCUGUAUCAGCACUUUGUCCUCACACGCUUUUCUACAUUGGUGUUCAAUAAAGUGCACGUGUUCCUGAUAAAA